UCAUCAGGUGGGAUCAUUCUUACCUGUUCAUCCUUUUUGGAGGGUGGAUUAGAAGAUGAUGAUUGUCCAGGUGAGAUGGCUCAUGCCUGUAAUCCCAGCACUUCGGGAGGCCAAGGCGGGCAGAUCACCUGAGGUCAGGAAUUUGAG
Nomascus leucogenys (northern white-cheeked gibbon) is the source of this 147-nucleotide small nucleolar RNA. Its record names the gene U8. It matches the Rfam family "U8 small nucleolar RNA". Rfam says of the family: U8 is a member of the C/D class of snoRNA which contain the C (UGAUGA) and D (CUGA) box motifs. U8 is the RNA component of a small complex (the U8 snoRNP) which is required for accumulation of mature large subunit ribosomal RNAs, 5.8S and 28S rRNAs. The record is from Ensembl. Lineage: Eukaryota; Metazoa; Chordata; Mammalia; Primates; Hylobatidae.